UUGGAUUGGAAAUAUGUUCCUUAUCGGCUCGUUCAAUAUUGAAGCAAGAUUAAUCUCAACUUCAGCUGGUUUGCUACGUAAUUUACCAUACGCUGCAGCGUAGGAAGUUUGAGACACUU
Arabidopsis thaliana (thale cress) is the source of this 119-nucleotide small nucleolar RNA. The record is from RefSeq. NCBI's taxonomy places the organism in Eukaryota, Viridiplantae, Streptophyta, Magnoliopsida, Brassicales, Brassicaceae.